UACGUAGGGUGCGAGCGUUGUCCGGAAUUAUUGGGCGUAAAGAGCUCGUAGGCGGUGUGUCACGUCGGCCGUGAAAACCUGCAGCUUAACUGUGGGCGUGCGGUCGAUACGGGCAUCACUGGAGUUCGGCAGGGGAGACUGGAAUUCCUGGUGUAGCGGUGAAAUGCGCAGAUAUCAGGAGGAACACCGGUGGCGAAGGCGGGUCUCUGGGCCGAUACUGACACUGAGACGCGAAAGCGUGGGGAGCGAACAGG
This 254-nucleotide ribosomal RNA is filed under the name uncultured bacterium. RNAcentral describes it as "partial 16S ribosomal RNA". It matches the Rfam family "Bacterial small subunit ribosomal RNA", at positions 524 to 776 of the family's 1533-position model. The record is from RNAcentral.